Molecule: long non-coding RNA, 417 nt
Filed under: Chinchilla lanigera (long-tailed chinchilla)
Lineage: Eukaryota; Metazoa; Chordata; Mammalia; Rodentia; Chinchillidae
Description: lncRNA (ENSCLAG00000028984.1)
Source: RNAcentral
UUGGCUAUUUUAUAGAUCAAAAAUAGGUUGAUUUCAAUUAAGAAUGUCAUCUUUUCUUUUUUUAAUCCAGGAGAAAGAUCCUGGCAUAUUGGAAGAAAAAAGAAGCACAUAAACAGAGAAGCUCUCUUUCCCGGGAACAACUUCUUGGUCCUGGCUGAAAAGUCUAUGUUCUUCUACUGCAAGGAACAUGCAGGCAUGAUUCCAGCCACACCAGAAUCUUCCAGCAUAAAAAUAAUGCCCACAGAGGGAGAAAUGUUGAAGGUGCAGCAAAAGGAAGGUCUUCUGUUCUGCUGAGUUGGAGGAAUGAGGGUGACAGUGAUGUCCCCACAUGAGGUUUGUAUACUGAGCCUGGACAGUGAAGUAAUGGGACAAUUCUUUCCUGUAUUUACAUGCAGUUUCUCUUAAAUUCAUGGCUGG